AUUGAACGCUGGCGGCAGGCCUAACACAUGCAAGUCGAGCGGUAGAGAGGAGCUUGCUUCUCUUGAGAGCGGCGGACGGGUGAGUAAUGCCUAGGAAUCUGCCUAGUGGUGGGGGAUAACGUUCGGAAACGGACGCUAAUACCGCAUACGUCCUACGGGAGAAAGCGGGGGACCUUCGGGCCUCGCGCCAUUAGAUGAGCCUAGGUCGGAUUAGCUAGUUGGUGAGGUAACGGCUCACCAAGGCGACGAUCCGUAACUGGUCUGAGAGGAUGAUCAGUCACACUGGAACUGAGACACGGUCCAGACUCCUACGGGAGGCAGCAGUGGGGAAUAUUGGACAAUGGGCGAAAGCCUGAUCCAGCCAUGCCGCGUGUGUGAAGAAGGUCUUCGGAUUGUAAAGCACUUUAAGUUGGGAGGAAGGGCAGUAACUUAAUACGUUGCUGUUUUGACGUUACCGACAGAAUAAGCACCGGCUAA
This 477-nucleotide ribosomal RNA is filed under the name uncultured bacterium. RNAcentral describes it as "bacterial SSU rRNA". It matches the Rfam family "Bacterial small subunit ribosomal RNA", at positions 30 to 500 of the family's 1533-position model. The record is from RNAcentral.